GCCUACUAUAGGGGGGAGCUGCCUGCCUGCCCACGCACCUUGGUGGGUCAGGAUGGCGUGCCAUGGGGCUCCCUCCCAGCGCCCCAGCAAGCUUUCCCAAGCAUGCUGGUGCGUUUUUCCAUGGCCAUGUGGGAAAUUCGACCGAGUCAAAAAUAGUCCACGCCGAAUCCAGGUCGUACGUGUCCCGGUUCUGGCUGGUCCAACGGAAAAAUGUGGGCAUCUCGUAGUGAGCUUAUCCGGCACCAUGACACAUUUGGCGUGCAGCAAGUUCUUUGCUUGUUCCUCAAGGUCCAAGUCAAAAAUCUUGAUGCCUUCGUCCCUUUGGUCGAGGUGCCGGUCUGGCAUCACAGUGGGUAGUUGCGGUCAUCCCUCGGACGUGCCGAGGCAUCCAGUGUGACCCGUUCCGCACGGAAGGUUGUGGCGCUAGGUGAAGCCUUCACGGGCAUAUCCUUAGCACGAAGGGGGCAAGUUCCCAAUCAUCCGGAAGUGCACUAUGGGCGGUUCAUCAUGGUCGAAGCCAAGGCGCGGCCGUGUUUGACGCGAUCAGCAACGUCUCUCCAGUCGCCUCGUCCCUCGGAAAAGUGUGCUCUGUUGAGGUGCCGGCCUGGCCUCACAGUGCCGAGAUGGGUAGUUGUGCGCAUCCCUCGGACGCGCCGAGGCUUCUAGUGUGACCCGUUCGGCACGGAAGGAUGUGGGUCUACGCGUUCCCUUCAGUGGCAUAUCCGUAGCACUGAGGGGCAAGUUCCCAAACAUCCGGAAGUGCACUCUGGGCGGUUCAACGCGGUCGAAGCCAAGGCAAGGCCAUGGUUGAAGCAAUCAGCAACGUCUCUCCAGUCGCCUCGUCCCUCGGAAAAGUGUUCUCUGUUGAGGUGCCGGCCUGGCCUCACAGUGCGGAGAUGGGUGGUUGUGCGCAUCCCUUGGACGCGCCGAUGCUUCUAGUGUGACCCGUUCGGCACGGAAGGAUGUGGGUCUACGCGUUCCCUUCAGUGGCAUAUCCGUAGCACUGAGGGGCAAGUUCCCAAACAUCCGGAAGUGCACUCUGGGCGGUUCAGCACGGUCGAAGCCGAGGCAAGGCCAAGGUUGAAGCAAUCAGCAACGUCUCUCCAGUCGCCUCGUCCCUCGGAAAUGUGUGCUCUGUUGAGGUGCCGGCCCGGCCUCACAGUGUCGAGAUGGGUAGUUGUGGGCAUCCCUCGGACGUGCCGAGGCUUCUCGUGUGGACCGUUCUGCACGGAAGGAUGUGGCGCUAGGUGUUGCCUUAAUGGGCAUAGCCGUAGCACGAAGGGGCAAGUGUCCAAGCAUCCGGAAGUGCACUUUUGGCGGUUGAACAUGGUUGAGGCCAUGGCGCGGUAGUGGUUGAGGCCAUCAGCAUCGUCUCUGCAGUCGCCUCGUCCCUCGGAAAUGUGUGCUCUGUUGAGGUGCCGGCCUGGCCUCACAGUGCCGAGAUGGGUAGUUGUGGGCAUCCCUCGGACGUGCCGAGGCUUCUCGUGUGACCCGUUCUGCACGGAAGGAUGUGGCGCUAGGUGUUGCUCUAAUGGGCAUGGCCGUAGCACGAAGGGGCAAGUUUCCAAGCAUCCGGAAGUGCACUUUUGGCGGUUGAACAUGGUUGAGGCCAUGGCGCGUUUGUGGUUGAGGCCAUCAGCAACGUGUCCCCUGUUGCCUGUCCCUCGGAAAAGUGUGCGCUGUUGAGGUGCCUGCCUGGCCUCACAGUGCCGAGAUGGGUUGUUGCGGAUACCUCGGAAUUGUCGUGUGUUCAUGUGUGGCCUGAUCUGCACGGAUGGUUUUGGUAAUAUCUUCAGGCACGAAGGGUCAAGUUCCCAAGCAUCCGGAAGUGCACCCUGGGCGGUUCAACACGGUUGGAGCCAUGGGGCGGUCGUGGUCGAAUCAAUCAACAAUGUUUCUCCUGUCGCCUUGUCCCUCGGGAAAGUGUUCUGUUGAGGUGCCGGCCUGGCCUCACAGUGCAGAGUUGGUUUGUUGCGGGGAUCCCUCGGAAUUGUCGUGGCUUCUACUGUGGCCCGUUCUGCACGGAAGGUUGUGGUGCUCGGUGAACCCUUCAUGGGCGUAGCCGCAGCACCAUGGGUCAAGUUCCCAAUCAUCCGGAAGUGCACCCUGGGCUGUUCAACACGGUUGGAGCCAUGGGGCGGACGUGGUCGAAUCAAUCAGCAAUGUUUCUCCUGUCGCCUUGUCCCUCGGAAAAGUGUUCUGUCGAGGUGCCGGCCUGGCCUCACAGUGCAGGGUUGGUUUGUUGCGGGGAUCCCUCGGAAUUGUCGUUGCUUCUACCGAGGCCCGUUGUUCACGGAAGGUUGUGGUGCUCGGUGAACCCUUCUUGGGCGUAUCCGCAGCACCAUGCAUGGGUCAAGUUCCCAAGCAUCCGGAAGUGCACCCUGGGCUGUUCAACACGGUUGGAGCCAUGGGGCGGUCGUGGUCGAAUCAAUCAGCAAUGUUUCUCCUGUCGCCUUGUCCCUCGGGAAAGUGUUCUGUUGAGGUGCCGGCCUGGCCUCACAGUGCAGAGUUGGUUUGUUGCGGGGAUCCCUCGGAAUUGUCGUGCCUUCUACUGUGGCACGUUCUGCACGGAAGGUUGUGGUGCUCGGUGAACCCUUCAUGGGCAUAUAUGCAGAGCACGAAGGGGCGUAAGUCCCAUAAUCUGGUAGUGUGUUGUGGGUGGUUCCCAUGGCGGAAGCGAGGGUC
Molecule: small RNA, 2685 nt
Filed under: Lupinus albus (white lupine)
Lineage: Eukaryota; Viridiplantae; Streptophyta; Magnoliopsida; Fabales; Fabaceae
Description: hypothetical ncRNA
Source: RNAcentral